Long non-coding RNA from Patella vulgata (common limpet), 304 nucleotides. RefSeq lists it as uncharacterized. Lineage: Eukaryota; Metazoa; Mollusca; Gastropoda; Patellidae. The record is from RefSeq and is a predicted model, not a curated record. The transcript has 3 exons.
GCUGAAAAAGUGCCAUCCUGUGUUCCACUUGCCCUCGUCAGUGGUCCAGGACGUGCUUGACAAUGAACAGCGAUGGUGUGCACAUAAAAGAACCCUGGACAGUUGGAAUUCGACGAGGAGCCCAUGUCCCGGGAACCAGGGUAGUCAACACCAGCAAAUACAAAGUGACAUUGAUAAAGGGUUAAAAACCAAAGAAACUGCAUGACAACCAGGAUGAUCACAUGUAAAAGCUGGUGAUGAUGUUGGUGAUGGUACAGUCAAUAUAGGUAUAUUACCACUAACAUUAACAUCACUAUUACUUAUA